AAACAUAGCCUUUAGCACACCAAGUAUUAAAGGUAACGCCUGCCCAGUGAAAUUUCAACGGCCGCGGUAUCCUAACCGUGCAAAGGUAGCGUAAUCACUUGUCUUAUAAAUAAAGACCUGUAUGAACGGCUAAAUGAGUAUUUAACUGUCUCCUUUAACUAAUCAGUGAAACUGAUCUCUCAGUCCAAAAGCUGAGAUAAAAACAUAAGACGAGAAGACCCUGUGGAGCUUUAAACNUUUUAACAAUUCAUCUUCUCAAAAGACGUUUAUGCUAAAAANUUUUUAAGNUUGGGGCGACUUUUGGAGUAAAACAAAACCUCCAAGAAUUAGGUGCCACCUAAACAUCAGGCCCACAAGCCAAACAAAUAAGACCCAGUAUUACUGAUUGACGAACCAAGUUACCCCAGGGAUAACAGCGCCAUCUUCUUCAAGAGUUCAUAUCGACAAGAAGGCUUACGACCUCGAUGUUGGAUCAGGACACCCCAAUGGUGUAACCGCUAUUAAAGGUUCGUUUUGUUCAACGAUUAAUAGUCCUACGUG
Molecule: ribosomal RNA, 540 nt
Filed under: Anolis nebulosus
Lineage: Eukaryota; Metazoa; Chordata; Lepidosauria; Squamata; Anolidae
Description: partial large subunit ribosomal RNA
Rfam family: Bacterial large subunit ribosomal RNA
Source: RNAcentral